Molecule: ribosomal RNA, 491 nt
Filed under: Brachycerocoris petrii
Lineage: Eukaryota; Metazoa; Arthropoda; Insecta; Hemiptera; Pentatomidae
Description: partial large subunit ribosomal RNA
Rfam family: Archaeal large subunit ribosomal RNA
Source: RNAcentral
CUGGCCUGCUCAAUGAUUGUUAAUUAAAUAGCCGCAGUAUCUUGACUGUGCGAAGGUAGCAUAAUCAUUUGUCUUUUAAUUGGAGGCUUGUAUGAAUGGUUGGAUGAGGGGUUGACUUUCUUUAUAUUAAUUGUUAGAAUUUAAUUUUUAGGUUAAAAAGCUUAAAUUUAUGAAUGGGACGAGAAGACCCUAUAGAAUUUUAUUUUCUUGGAUUUAUUUUAUUUUUGGUUAUUUUUAUUUUUAAUAUAUUUAGGGAAAUUUUGUUGGGGUGACAGGGGGAUUUUAAUAACUCUCUUUAAUUAUUUAUUACUGAUUAGUAUAUUAAUGAUCCUGUUUUAUGGAUAUUAAGAUUAAAUUACCUUAGGGAUAACAGCGUAAUUCUUUUGGAGAGUUCAUAUCGAUAAAAGAGAUUGCGACCUCGAUGUUGGAUUAAAAUAAGAUUUAAGUGCAGAAGCUUAAUUUCUAGGUCUGUUCGACCUUUAAAUUUUUAC